AAAUUAUAAUGGGUUUCGAGAAGAACUGUGAAAAUUGUUGCGACUCCUUGAUGAAUUUAUGUUUUUGGAAGUGGACCUGCUGGCUUCUACAUUGUUGAAAAUGUAUGUUUUUUUGUAAAGGUGUGUUUUUCUGUACCUUUUUUUUUUUUUUUUCUGUCAAUUGAAUUUUUGUUCAUCAGUUUUGAUAUAUAUUAAUACGUGGCAUUUUAAAACCUACCCGAGUUCUUAUAAGGUUGAUAACAUUACAGAAAUUAUGUUUCCUCUUUUUCAUGAUGCAAACAUCUUUAAAGAUUCAUAUUAAUUUAAUGAACCGUUCAACUUACAUCCAUAUCCCUACAAUAUAAAAGAGUAAAUCCUAAAGUUGCUUUUCGUUUAACAGUGUUAAAUCCUUUUCAUUUUAUUUAUUUAUUAUUAUUAUUUUUUGCUUCUGGUGAAAAAAAUGACGUUGUUUUAUGUAAGUCUUGUACUAACAAAGUCAUUCUCUCUAUCUCUAUGCUGAUUUUCUUUCUUUAUUUAGAUCCUUUUUUUUUGCCCUUUGAUUGAUAGUCUUUUAAAUCUUUUUCUAUGUACUUUGGUUAUUUUUUUGAUAUCUACAUUUGAAUUUUUUGGAUUUGGCCUUGUAUUUUUGCGUUUCCGUGAUGUAUUGCUAUUUAUCUGAGAUUUGUUCAUUUUAUUAUAGAAGGCAAAGGCGCUACCGAAGAGAUUGCGAGGGACGUAGCGGUGGUGAUGGCAGAGAAGAAGAAUGCUGAUUCUGCACUAUGUCGCUCACAAUAUAAGUUUUGGAGGGAAGAUGGGUAGCAUGUUGCACAGUGGAGAUUGUCUUUAAGAAGCUGAAGAGUGAAUUGGAUCUUAAAAUGGUACAUCAAUAUACACUUUAAUCUCCACCCUUUU
Molecule: long non-coding RNA, 891 nt
Filed under: Olea europaea subsp. europaea
Lineage: Eukaryota; Viridiplantae; Streptophyta; Magnoliopsida; Lamiales; Oleaceae
Source: RNAcentral